Long non-coding RNA from Homo sapiens (human), 681 nucleotides. RefSeq lists it as uncharacterized. Lineage: Eukaryota; Metazoa; Chordata; Mammalia; Primates; Hominidae. The transcript is spliced from 2 exons. The record is from RefSeq and is a predicted model, not a curated record.
CAUCCCAGGAAGGGGCCGAGCAGGGCCAAACAGGGGCGGUGCCCACUAGGGGAGAGCUGGCCACGGGGAGCCAUCCCAAGGGCCACAGGCAGGCUGGGCUUCCCGGACUCCUCAGACUCCCUCUCCCCAGGGAGUGACGGGGAGGGACCAGUGCUGUUCUGCCCCCACCCGUGGAGUCAGCCUGCCUCCAAGGAAACCCGAGGAGGGGGCAGAGGCGUCCCUAUGGCAGUAACAAAUGUCCUGAAGGACCCAAAUAGAGGCUGAGAUCUAGAGUGACGGGCUAGGGCAGGUGGUAACCAAGCCAGGAAUGGGACGAGAUGCCAGAACCAGCAGGAGAUCUGUUCAAGUCCUAACCCCUUGGUUCCUGUAAAUGUGACCUUAUUUGGAAAAAGGUCUUUGCAGAUGCAAGUGAAGGAUCUUGAGCUGACAUCAUCCUGGCUUUAGGGUGAGCCUUAAAUCCAAUGAUCGGCGUCCAUAUAAGAAGUGGGAAGACAGAGAGGGAAAGCCAUGUGAAGGUGGAGGCAGGACAAGCCAAGGAAUGCCAGGAGCUGCCAGGAGCCACCAGGAGCAGGAAGAAGUGGGGAGGAUCCUGCCCCAGAGCCUUUGGCGGCAGCGGCCCUGCCGGCACCUGGACAUUUGGCCUCCAGAACUGGAAGAAUAAAUUUCUGUUGUUUGAAGACA